Molecule: ribosomal RNA, 733 nt
Filed under: Dasyurus geoffroii (western quoll)
Lineage: Eukaryota; Metazoa; Chordata; Mammalia; Dasyuromorphia; Dasyuridae
Description: partial 12S ribosomal RNA
Rfam family: Bacterial small subunit ribosomal RNA
Source: RNAcentral
UUUAACCACACCCCCACGGGUAACAGCAGUGACUAACAUUGAGCUAUAAACGAAAGUUUGACUAAAUCAUAAUAAAUAAGGGUUGGUAAAUCUCGUGCCAGCCACCGCGGUCAUACGAUUAACCCAAAUUAACAGAAAAACGGCGUAAAGGGUGUUUAAGCAUAAACCUCAUAAAUAAAGUUAAAACUCAACUAUGCUGUAAUACGCCCUAGUUGGCAUUAAAAUAUACAACUUACGUGACUUUACUACUGCUGAAGACACUAAAGCUAAGGUACAAACUGGGAUUAGAGACCCCACUAUGCUUAGCCGUAAACCUAGGUAAUUAAAUAACAAAAUUACUCGCCAGAGAACUACUAGCCACUGCUUAAAACUCAAAGGACUUGGCGGUGCCCUAGACCCUCCUAGAGGAGCCUGUUCUAUAAUCGAUAAACCCCGAUACACCUCACCCCUUCUAGCUUAACAGUCUAUAUACCGCCAUCGUCAGCUCACCCCAAUAGGGCCCCAAAGUGAGCAAAAUCAUCUAAACCAUAAAAACGUUAGGUCAAGGUGUAGCAUAUGAAGGGGGAAGCAAUGGGCUACAUUUUCUAUAUUAGAACAUAACGGAUUGCCUACUGAAAUAGAGGCAUGAAGGAGGAUUUAGUAGUAAAUUAAGAGUAGAGAGCUUAAUUGAAAUAGGCAAUAGGGUGCGUACACACCGCCCGUCACCCUCCUCGAUAAAGUAACCUUCAAUACC